GAUGAACGCUAGCUACAGGCUUAACACAUGCAAGUCGAGGGGCAUCAUGGUGGUUGCUUGCAACCGCUGAUGGCGACCGGCGCACGGGUGAGUAACGCGUAUCCAACCUGCCCACUACCAGGGGAUAACCCAGCGAAAGUUGGCCUAAUACCCUAUGGUUUCUUCCGAUUGCAUAAGACGAAGAAUAAAGAUUUUAUCGGUAAUGGAUGGGGAUGCGUCUGAUUAGCUUGUUGGGGGGGUAACGGCCCACCAAGGCAUCGAUCAGUAGGGGUUCUGAGAGGAAGGUCCCCCACAUUGGAACUGAGACACGGUCCAAACUCCUACGGGAGGCAGCAGUGAGGAAUAUUGGUCAAUGGGCGGGAGCCUGAACCAGCCAAGUAGCGUGCAGGAUGACGGCCCUAUGGGUUGUAAACUGCUUUUAGUUGGGAAUAAAGCGAGGGACGUGUCCCUUAUUGUAUGUACCAUCAGAAAAAGGACCGGCUAAUUCCGUGCCAGCAGCCGCGGUAAUACGGAAGGUCCAGGCGUUAUCCGGAUUUAUUGGGCGUAAAGCGCGUCUAGGCGGUUUGGUAAGUCUGAUGUGAAAAUGCGGGGCUCAACUCCGUAUUGCGUUGGAAACUGCCAAACUAGAGUACUGGAGAGGUAGGCGGAACUACAAGUGUAGAGGUGAAAUUCGUAGAUAUUUGUAGGAAUGCCGAUGGGGAAGCCAGCCUACUGGACAGAUACUGACGCUAAAGCGCGAAAGCGUGGGUAGCAAACAGG
RNAcentral lists this ribosomal RNA (759 nucleotides) under uncultured bacterium. RNAcentral's name for it is "bacterial SSU rRNA". It matches the Rfam family "Bacterial small subunit ribosomal RNA", at positions 28 to 776 of the family's 1533-position model. The record is from RNAcentral.